CGAACGCCCCGCAAGGGGAGUGGCAGACGGGUGAGUAACGCGUGGGAAUCUACCUAGUUCUACGGAACAACAGUUGGAAACGACUGCUAAUACCGUAUACGCCCUAUGGGGGAAAGAUUUAUCGGAAUUAGAUGAGCCCCGCGUAAGAUUAGCUAGUUGGUGAGGUAAUGGCUCACCAAGGCGACGAUCUUUAGCUGGUCUGAGAGGAUGAUCAGCCACACUGGGACUGAGACACGGCCCAG
This 242-nucleotide ribosomal RNA is filed under the name uncultured bacterium. Its description in RNAcentral is "partial 16S ribosomal RNA". It matches the Rfam family "Bacterial small subunit ribosomal RNA", at positions 63 to 334 of the family's 1533-position model. The record is from RNAcentral.